This 440-nucleotide ribosomal RNA is filed under the name uncultured bacterium. Its description in RNAcentral is "partial 16S ribosomal RNA". It matches the Rfam family "Bacterial small subunit ribosomal RNA", at positions 338 to 795 of the family's 1533-position model. The record is from RNAcentral.
CCUACGGGCGGCAGCAGUGGGGAAUAUUGCACAAUGGGGGAAACCCUGAUGCAGCGACGCCGCGUGCGUGAAGAAGUAAUUCGUUAUGUAAAGCUCUAUCUGCAGGGAAGAAAAUGACGGUACCUGAGUUAGACUCCCCGGCUAAAUACGUUCCAGCAGCCGCGGGAAUACGUAGGGGGCAAGCGUUAUCCGGAUUUACUGGGUGGAAAGGGGGCGUAGACGGCAGUGCAAGUCUGGAGUGAAAGGCGUGGGCUCAACCCGCGGACUGCUCUGGAAACUGUACGGCUGGAGUGCAGGAGAGGUAAGUGGAAUGUCUAGUGUAGCGGUGAAAUGCGUAGAGAGUAGAAAGAACACCAGUGGCGAAGGCGGCUUACUGGACUGUAACUGACGUUGAGGCUCGAAAGCGUGGGGAGCAAACAGGAUUAGAUACCCCAGUAGUC